This 468-nucleotide ribosomal RNA is filed under the name uncultured bacterium. RNAcentral's name for it is "partial 16S ribosomal RNA". It matches the Rfam family "Bacterial small subunit ribosomal RNA", at positions 28 to 507 of the family's 1533-position model. The record is from RNAcentral.
GACGAACGCUGGCGGCGUGCUUAACACAUGCAAGUCGAACGGAAAGGCCCUGCUUUUGUGGGGUGCUCGAGUGGCGAACGGGUGAGUAACACGUGAGUAACCUGCCCUUGACUUUGGGAUAACUUCAGGAAACUGGGGCUAAUACCGGAUAGGAGCUCCUGCUGCAUGGUGGGGGUUGGAAAGUUUCGGCGGUUGGGGAUGGACUCGCGGCUUAUCAGCUUGUUGGUGGGGUAGUGGCUUACCAAGGCUUUGACGGGUAGCCGGCCUGAGAGGGUGACCGGAGACAUUGGGAAUGUGAUAGGGUGCAGAAUGCAAUGGGAGAGAGUAGUGGGGAGUGUUGCAGAAUCGGUGGGGGCCUGAUGCAGCGGCGUCGCGAGCGAGUAGAGGGGCUUCGGGAUGUAAACAACUUUCGCCUGGAAUAAAGCGGGGGUGACGGUAGUAGGUAAAGAGGCGCCGGGUAACUAAAUG